GGCAUUAAUAAAUGCCAAAUGGUGCCUAUGUGGCAUGAUGACAUGGCGGGUCAUCACACUCUCCCCCAUCCAAUAUUGCAACAACUGCGGUGCAAUGCUGUUGCAUAAACUCCCGGAUCUUAUCUUUGAAUUGCCACAAGUCUUCAUAUCGUUUCCACGUGGCCUCUUCCAAACAUGAUGACAUGGUGGGUCAUCACACUAUCCCCACCCAAUAUUGCGACGACCACGGCGCAAUGCUGUUGCAUAAACUCUCGGAUCUUAUCUUUGAAUUGUCACAAGUCUUCAUAUCGUUCCCACGUGGCCUCUUCCGGUGAUUGCCCUUUCCAAUGGACGAGGAACAUAGCGGUAGCUUUUUGCCCUUGUUUUUGCCUGGCCUGGUAAUCUAUGAUAGUCUCAAUCUCCCGAUCAUACGAGGCGGUGAUAGUCAUUGGUGCCCGACUUGAUUGGCCCCUACUCGGAUCAUCCUUAUCUUCAUGAUAUGG
RNAcentral lists this long non-coding RNA (482 nucleotides) under Nicotiana benthamiana. RNAcentral's name for it is "long non-coding RNA (NBEN_LNC010636)". Lineage: Eukaryota; Viridiplantae; Streptophyta; Magnoliopsida; Solanales; Solanaceae. The record is from RNAcentral.